CUUUAAACAUAGAGCUGUUUCCCUCAUAAGUUCCUUCUCUGCUACCAUAUGCAGUCUUAGUCUUACAGUGUAGACUUAAAAUCUUUCCUAUUUUAUCCUAGGUUAUAAUUUAGAUUUUGAUGUAAUGCACUGUAUAACCCACUGAGGGGUUUGGAUGUGAUUUAAUUUUUGCGAACCAGAAUUCACGUAUUACCAGGUGCUUUUAGGAAAAUGUGGGAGGGAACAGUCUUGUGUCCCAUUUUCAAUUCAUCAUACUAUUCUUAAAAGCACACCUCUGCGUAUGGACAGGAAAUGCCAGAAGAGAAAGAGGAAGGCUGGCAUUUUUGCUAGGACGAGGAUUGUUUUCUUUCAACACUAACCCAAGACUGGGUGCUGGCCAGGAAAAACUGAGAAUAAGAAAGGGAAUUAACUAGGAGGAGCCAUUUUGCAAAAGCGAAGGGCUCCUUUUGCUGGUGAGUUAACUUCAAUUAUUUCUUUACUCUUUAUUUUUAAUUUUAGCAGUCUUUGUUCAGCGCCCUAACCUUCUAAUGACUUCUUUUCUUGUUCAACACAAAGGCACUCUCCCUGUCUAUCACAUCUCUAGCCUUCUCCCUGCACAACUAAUAGAGCAGACAAUGAUUUUAUUAAACAAUGUGGCAAUUUUCAAAGGCUCACCCCAUCCUCUAACCUGGCUAAAUAACAAACACUCUUGUUGCAUAAUCUGCACUGCUUUUCUCUCUCCUCAGAGACACACAGAAUACUGAUUGAGGCCAGGACAACUGGAUACCCAGGGUCACCAGAGAGCGCUCUUCAGUGUAUGCUAAUUCCAUUUCAGAGUUCUUCGUGCAGCCCUUGGGAGGACAGUGGUGUGACAAAGCAUACUGGAGAGAGGUUUAACCGUUUUUGGCUCUGAAUUCUUUCUUCACAAGAAUCAUUUUGGUGACAUUACCACUUAGGGCCAUACACAGUGGCCCUACAGAGCAUUCUCAGGGCUGUUCCUUCCCUCCUUAAAUACACAUCUACCCAACAAAAAUUCACCUUGUUUUCACCACAGAGCAGUCCUCCAAGAGAUGACAGCCAGACCGAACAAAAAGAAGAUAAAAUAAGACAAGGUAAAAACCUUCAUAUCCAGGUGGGAUAAGGUGGCUCAAUUGGAGGAAGAGUCUCAAGAGAAGGCAAAAGAGUGAGUGACAACCUGGUCACAUAGUAAGGAGUCUCACCAAAGCACCAAUCAAACAGCCAUAACACAUGUGCAGAGAAUACGGUACAAAUACAGGCAGGCCUGGUACUCGCAGCUUCAGUCUCUGUGAGCUCUUAUGAGCCCUUCUUAGUUGAUUUGGUGGACCACGUUCUUCUGCCAUCCUGUGAUCCCUCUGAUUCCUAUGGUCUUUUCUCCUCACUCCUUCAGUGGGGUUCCCCAAGUUUUGAGGCUGAGGGAUAGACUUGAUGGAGACUUUCAAUUUAUAUUCUCUACCUCUAAUAAUGUACGGCUGAGUCUCUGCACCCACUCUCACAUGCCGCCAGAAGAUCCUCUGUGAUGACAGCUAGAUAAGACACCUUUCUAUAAGUAUAGAAGAAUAUGAUUAGGAAUCAUUUCAUUGACCUUUUUCUUUUUCUCUUUCUCUUCCUUCCUUCCUUCCU
Non-coding RNA from Rattus norvegicus (Norway rat), 1620 nucleotides. Lineage: Eukaryota; Metazoa; Chordata; Mammalia; Rodentia; Muridae. The record is from RefSeq and is a predicted model, not a curated record.